UACGGAGGGGGCUAGCGUUGUUCGGAAUUACUGGGCGUAAGGCGCACGUAGGCGGCUUUGCAAGUCAGAGGUGAAAGCCCGGGGCUCAACCCCGGAAUUGCCUUUGAGACUGCAUCGCUAGAAUUGUGGAGAGGUAAGUGGAAUUCCGAGUGUAGAGGUGAAAUUCGUAGAUAUUCGGAAGAACACCAGUGGCGAAGGCGACUUACUGGACACAUAUUGACGCUGAGGUGCGAAAGCGUGGGGAGCAAACAGG
Molecule: ribosomal RNA, 253 nt
Filed under: uncultured bacterium
Lineage: Bacteria
Description: partial 16S ribosomal RNA
Rfam family: Bacterial small subunit ribosomal RNA
Source: RNAcentral